AUCCAGUUGAUGAGUCUCAAAUAGGGUGAAACGCGCAUCCUGGAU
Molecule: non-coding RNA, 45 nt
Organism: Trichobilharzia regenti
Lineage: Eukaryota; Metazoa; Platyhelminthes; Trematoda; Strigeidida; Schistosomatidae
Source: Rfam